AGAGUUUGAUCCUGGCUCAGGACGAACGCUGGCGGCAUGCCUAACACAUGCAAGUCGAACGAGAAAGUUCCUUCGGGAGCAAUUAAAGUGGCGCACGGGUGAGUAACGCGUAGACAAUCUGCCCUUCAGUCUGGGACAACUUUUCGAAAGGAGAGCUAAUACCGGAUAACAAUGCAUGACACAAGUUGUAUAUUUGAAAGCUUUAUGUGCUGAAGGAGGGGUCUGCGUCCCAUUAGCUAGUUGGUAAGGUAAAGGCUUACCAAGGCAACGAUGGGUAGCGGGUUUGAGAGGACGAUCCGCCACACUGGAACUGAGACACGGUCCAGACUCCUACGGGAGGCAGCAGUGGGGAAUAUUGCACAAUGGAGGAAACUCUGAUGCAGCAAUGUCGCGUGAGUGAAGAAGGCCCUUGGGUCGUAAAGCUCUUUUAUGGGGGAAGAUGAUGACGGUACCCCAAGAAUAAGCACCGGCUAACUAUGUGCCAGCAGCCGCGGUAAUACAUAGGGUGCGAGCGUUGUUCGGAAUUACUGGGCGUAAAGGGCGCGCAGGCGGAAUAGUAAGUCGGAGGUGAAAGCCCGGGGCUCAACCCCGGAGGGUCUUUCGAAACUACUAAUCUAGAGAGGGUCAGGGGCCGGUGGAAUUUCUAGUGUAGCGGUGAAAUGCGUAGAUAUUAGAAAGAACACCAGUGGCGAAGGCGGCUUCCUGGACUGAUACUGACACUGAGGCGCGAAAGCGUGGGGAGCAAACAGGAUUAGAUACCCUGGUAGUCCACGCCGUAAACGAUGAGAACUAGCUGUUGGGUGGUUUACCACUUAGUAGCGAAGCUAACGCGAUAAGUUCUCCGCCUGGGGAGUACGGCCGCAAGGUUAAAACUCAAAGGAAUUGACGGGGGCCCGCACAAGCGGUGGAGCAUGUGGUUUAAUUCGAUGCAACGCGAAGAACCUUACCUACUCUUGACAUCCUGAGAAUCUACUAGAGAUAGUGGAGUGCCUUCGGGAAUUCAGUGACAGGUGCUGCAUGGCUGUCGUCAGCUCGUGUCGUGAGAUGUUGGGUUAAGUCCCGUAACGAGCGCAACCCUUAUCCUUAUUUGCCAGCACGUAAUGGUGGGAACUCUAAGGAGACUGCCGGUGAUAAACCGGAGGAAGGUGAGGACGACGUCAAGUCAUCAUGGCCCUUAUGAGUAGGGCUACACACGUGAUACAAUGGGCAGUACAAAGGGUCGCAAUACCGCAAGGUGGAGCUAAUCCCAGAAAAUUUCUCUCAGUCCGGAUUGGAGUCUGCAACUCGACUCCAUGAAGUUGGAAUCGCUAGUAAUCGUGAAUCAGCAUGUCACGGUGAAUACGUUCUCGGGCCUUGUACACACCGCCCGUCACAUCAUGGGAGUGGGCUGCAAAAGAAGUGGCUAGUCUAACCUUCGGGAGGACGGUCACCACUUUGUGGUUCAUGACUGGGAUGAAGUCGUAACAAGGUAACC
RNAcentral lists this ribosomal RNA (1474 nucleotides) under uncultured prokaryote. RNAcentral's name for it is "partial 16S ribosomal RNA". It matches the Rfam family "Bacterial small subunit ribosomal RNA". The record is from RNAcentral.